UGGGGGCCAGACUUUUUCCGGAAUUUUUUGGGCGUAAAACGCGCGCAGCCUUAGUUUUUGAUCUUGGUUCAGAAUGCACCGCGGGCGACGGGCGUAAAUCCAUUCAAGUCGAGCGAACUGAUUAGAAGCUUGGUUAUAGGACGUUAGCGGCGGACGGGUGAGUAACACGUGGGCAACCUGCCUGUAAGACUGGGAUAACUUCGGGAAACCGAAGCUAAUACCGGAUAGGAUCUUAUCCUUCAUGGGAGAUGAUUGAAAGAUGGUUUCGGCUAUCACUUACAGAUGGGCCCGCGGUGCAUUAGCUAGUUGGUGAGGUAACGGCUCACCAAGGCAACGAUGCAUAGCCGACCUGAGAGGGUGAUCGGCCACACUGGGACUGAGACACGGCCCAGACUCCUACGGGAGGCAGCAGUAGGGAAUCUUCCGCAAUGGACGAAAGUCUGACGGAGCAACGCCGCGUGAGUGAUGAAGGCUUUCGGGUCGUAAAACUCUGUUGUUAGGGAAGAACAAGUACAAGAGUAACUGCUUGUACCUUGACGGUACCUAACCAGAAAGCCACGGCUAACUACGUGCCAGCAGCCGCGGUAAUACGUAGGUGGCAAGCGUUAUCCGGAAUUAUUGGGCGUAAAGCGCGCGCAGGCGGUUUCUUAAGUCUGAUGUGAAAGCCCACGGCUCAACCGUGGAGGGUCAUUGGAAACUGGGGAACUUGAGUGCAGAAGAGAAAAGCGGAAUUCCACGUGUAGCGGUGAAAUGCGUAGAGAUGUGGAGGAACACCAGUGGCGAAGGCGGCUUUUUGGUCUGUAACUGACGCUGAGGCGCGAAAGCGUGGGGAGCAAACAGGAUUAGAUACCCUGGUAGUCCACGCCGUAAACGAUGAGUGCUAAGUGUUAGAGGGUUUCCGCCCUUUAGUGCUGCAGCUAACGCAUUAAGCAUUCCGCCUG
This 941-nucleotide ribosomal RNA is filed under the name Priestia megaterium. RNAcentral describes it as "bacterial SSU rRNA". It matches the Rfam family "Bacterial small subunit ribosomal RNA", at positions 1 to 875 of the family's 1533-position model. Lineage: Bacteria; Bacillati; Bacillota; Bacilli; Caryophanales; Bacillaceae. The record is from RNAcentral.